CUCUUUCUUUGGAGUAAAGACCGGUCUACACUGACAGACAUUAUCUGCCCGCGACGGGCGAUUGGGUAACGCCGCGGACUAGGGUGGCUGUCCCAAUAACCUAAUAACGAUACUUUAUUUUGUUUUAGGCGAAAAUAAAACGUUGGUAAUGCGUAUACGAGGAGGACAAAUUUUAUGAUUGAAUUUUAUGAUCGUAUAGGCAGAGUGGAUGUAUAGAUCGAAAAUCGAAUCUCCUUGUUAAAAAAUGAUUGUUUCGUACAUGUAUCAAAAUUAAAGGACCGACUGAGAAAACGAUAUUUCAAACAAAGGCAAAUCGAAGAGAGAGAAACUCGUAAGAGAUACACGCGUAUCCGAUCCAAUAAGAAUAGAAACACAUAUCGUAUUACCAUACUAAGCCGUUGUCGAGCGAACAAACGAAAUAAUGGCGCACAAAAAACCGAAAUUGAUACAUACAUACAUAUAUAUAUAUAUAUACAUAUACGUAGCACAUGCCAGUUUCCAUUGACACCGAGCCCCUCCUCAAUUGUCCGUCAGUGUGGACCGGGCUUAAGAGAGGACCGACACACGACUCUGUGUGUAAGCGACCAAGGAAACAACCGGACAAGAGGGAGACGGACGGAGGACGAAGAGGAAUGGACGGCUAGAUCGUGCGCGAGAGAAGCGGCUACCGAGAACACCGACACCUUCCGCGACUCUUAUUUUUCACAUCCUGCUCACCGGCGACCUAUUUUUAAGCCGAUGCCUCCCCCCACCCCUCCCCUCGAGUCCGCGGAGGGAAAAAAACCCUUGGGAAAACGGACCGGACGGGAACACCGCUCUCCUCAACCCUACCGGAUCUUUGGAACGCGUAUAGGUUUCUUCUCCGCUAUCUCUUCCCCUCCUGUUUGCUUAGCUAGCCAGUUAUCGUCCGCUAAAAUGCGUUCCUCAGGAAUUCUGCUCCCACUCCCCCCGUGUUUCCGUUUUUCUAGAGUGACAGAACGAUGAUGCGAUACGAAACGAUUCUUGUUGUAUAGAGUGGAGUAAAGUGGAUUGUAAAUAUAUGUAUCGUUUUGUUUUUUUUUUUUUUAGGUUGAUAUGUAUAUAGAUAUAUAUAUAUAUAUGGAGAAGAGAAAUGAUUGUUGUUGAGAAUGGCGAACUUUUGGAUCUUUAAAAGUUGGAGAUAAUUCGAUUCGAUUCGAAACAAUGUUAAUUUGAAUUUAUAUUUGGAUCGCUUUCGAAUGAAUGCGUUUAACCGA
Molecule: long non-coding RNA, 1235 nt
Organism: Apis florea (little honeybee)
Lineage: Eukaryota; Metazoa; Arthropoda; Insecta; Hymenoptera; Apidae
Source: RefSeq, a predicted model, not a curated record